RNAcentral lists this ribosomal RNA (486 nucleotides) under uncultured bacterium. Its description in RNAcentral is "bacterial SSU rRNA". It matches the Rfam family "Bacterial small subunit ribosomal RNA", at positions 28 to 507 of the family's 1533-position model. The record is from RNAcentral.
GAUGAACGCUAGCGGCAGGCCUAACACAUGCAAGUCAGGGGUAACAUGAAAAGCUUGCUUUUCUGAUGACGACCGGCGCACGGGUGCGUAACGCGUAUACAACCACCUUUUUAGCGGGGAAUAGCCCAGGGAAACUUGGAUUAAUGCCCCAUAGUAUAUAGACUUCUCCUGAAGUUUAUAUUAAACAUUUAUGGCUAUUAGAUGGGUAUGCGUCCUAUUAGUUAGUUGGUAAGGUAACGGCUUACCAAGGCAGCGAUAGGUACGGGGUCCUGAGAGGGAGAUCCCCACACUGGUACUGAGACACGGACCAGACUCCUACGGGAGGCAGCAGUGAGGAAUAUUGGACAAUGGGCGAGAGCCUGAUCCAGCCAUGCCGCGUGCAGGAAGACUGCCCUAUGGGUUGUAAACUGCUUUUACAGAGGAAGAACCACCCUCACGUGUGGGGGUUUGACGGUACUCUGCGAAUAAGGAUCGGCUAACUCCGUG